RNAcentral lists this long non-coding RNA (402 nucleotides) under Gossypium barbadense (sea-island cotton). RNAcentral describes it as "long non-coding RNA (GBAR_LNC001837)". Lineage: Eukaryota; Viridiplantae; Streptophyta; Magnoliopsida; Malvales; Malvaceae. The record is from RNAcentral.
UAGUAAGAAAAAGGCAUCAAUUUCGAGUCUUGAAACCGGAAUGUAUUCAUAACAUUAGUGUGGCAUACUACCCUGCUAAUAUAGGAACCUUUUGCAACAUGAAAAACAUGCUCCACAUUUCGUUUUUGGAUCGAUUUACAUGUAAAACGAAACAUGACUCGAAAACACUGCCUCGAGACUUUGCAGGUAUACGGGUAUAGAAUGUCCCUAUGUGCAGAGCAUCUUGGUGAGCUAAAUAAGUGUUUCGAGGAACCAGAAACUCUAGAAUGUGUGAAGACAGUAAACACAAUUGCCGAAGAUAACUGGAAGAAAUUUACAGAUACCGAUUAUUCGGCAUUGCAGGGCCAUCUUAUGAGGUAUCCUUUGGAAGUAGAUAUUGACGGGAAAGUGAAACCACUCCCU